This 234-nucleotide ribosomal RNA is filed under the name uncultured bacterium. RNAcentral's name for it is "partial 16S ribosomal RNA". It matches the Rfam family "Bacterial small subunit ribosomal RNA", at positions 27 to 245 of the family's 1533-position model. The record is from RNAcentral.
GAACGAACGUUAGCGGCGCGCUUAACACAUGCAAGUCGAGCGAGAAAGGGGCAACCCCGGUAAAGCGGCGCACGGGUGAGUAACACGUAGGUAAUCCUACCCCAGGUGGUGGAUAACCUUCCGAAAGGAAGGCUAAUACAGCAUGGGACCACGACUCCGAAAGGGGUUGAGGUGAAAGUCGGCCUCUUCACGAAACGCCGACGCCGAGGGGAUGAGCCUGGCCGGCCCAUCCGG